GUCCAGCUGAAGUGUCUCAAAUAGGACAAAAUGCGCGUUCUGGAU
Molecule: non-coding RNA, 45 nt
Organism: Schistosoma rodhaini
Lineage: Eukaryota; Metazoa; Platyhelminthes; Trematoda; Strigeidida; Schistosomatidae
Source: Rfam